UACGGAGGGGGCUAGCGUUGUUCGGAAUUACUGGGCGUAAAGCGCGCGUAGGCGGCUUUGUAAGUUAGAGGUGAAAGCCCAGGGCUCAACCCUGGAAUUGCCUUUAAGACUGCAUCGCUUGAACAUCGGAGAGGUAAGUGGAAUUCCGAGUGUAGAGGUGAAAUUCGUAGAUAUUCGGAAGAGCACCAGUGGCGAAGGCGACUCGCUGGACAAGUAUUGACGCUGAGGUGCGAAAGCGUGGGGAGCAAACAGG
Molecule: ribosomal RNA, 253 nt
Filed under: uncultured bacterium
Lineage: Bacteria
Description: partial 16S ribosomal RNA
Rfam family: Bacterial small subunit ribosomal RNA
Source: RNAcentral